Penaeus vannamei (Pacific white shrimp) is the source of this 5933-nucleotide non-coding RNA. The record is from RefSeq and is a predicted model, not a curated record. Lineage: Eukaryota; Metazoa; Arthropoda; Malacostraca; Decapoda; Penaeidae.
CUCUCUCUCUGUUUAUCUUGGCGAUGUGCUGCCAAGGUUCUCCUGAAGCUGCACUUUGUGAAUCACCUCCGAGUUUAUUGAUCGCCGCCGAGAGGAGUAGCUGUGGUGUGUCCUGUCCCCGGAAUCGGCGCUGCUUUGACGCCACGAAAACGUCCGUGUUGGAAGCAGUGUGAGUUCCACUAGUAUUUGUGAGAGUAUUGUGUAAGAGGAGAUAUGGCGGGGUGGCGGUGGACGUGCCUCCCGCCUGGCUGGCUGGCUGGCUGCUGGCUGGCCCGCCCAUUCGUCCCUGCACUGGGCCGGAGUCUGCGUACUGACUACGUCACAGUUACGUCACUGUACGUGCGUGUGUACGUCCGCCGCUGAGUGAGCCAGACGCGGCGCUCAGUCUGAGAGAACCCGCCAGUCCGAACGCACGAGCAUGUCGCUGCCCGCACCCUAGCCUCACGCGGCUGCCACCCGGGAAUGUGCCAGGAGACUCAGGACAAGGAGUACCCACACGACUGCCAGUGCGUCCGCCCUCGCACGGGCCUCUCGCCACCCGCACAAUACAUUGUUCGCUCGUGAUACGUGAGUGGCUCAUCGGUGGUGAUUUUUGGUGAUUAGUGAAGCAGCAGCGACGAGAGCGUCAGCGUGCUCAGUGGUGUUCGAGUAGAGGUGAUCAAAGUGCAGUGAAUGUUGUCAGAGAGCCGAGGUAACAUGUCCUCCUUCAGAAGCCAGCGGCAGCACUGCUACCUGUGCGACCUGCCCCGCAUGCCGUGGGCCAUGCUGCACGACUUCUCGGAGCCCGUGUGCCGCGGCUGUGUGAACUACGAGGGCGCGGACCGGAUUGACCUGGUCAUCGAGGCCGCACGCCAGAUGAAGCGCGCCCAUGGCAUCAACGAAAACCGCCAGGGCCCGCCCUCCAAGCCUCACCCUCGCGUGCCCAUCGAGGCCCAGAACGGCGCCCACCAUGGUCCCAUCAAACUGGAGGCGGGCAUUAAGAUGGAACCCGGAUCUCACUCGCACGCCCACUCCCACGGCGGCCACCCGACACACACGGCCGCCCUGCCGCCCCCGGGCACCCCCGGCGUCGCCUUCGUGGCCGGAGACGUGCGGCAACGGGGCCCUCACAUGCUGGCCUUCCCUGCAGGGCUGCCCCACCGGGAUGACCCACACGCCCCUGCCCUUGUACGGCCGCCCGCCCACCUUCCCGCCCACCCGCUCCCACCUCCACACUCCCGCCCGCCAGCGCCCCCGGGGUCAUCCUCGGGGUCGGCGCCGCAGAAGAGGUCGUUCGAGCGCGACGAUGCCCAGAGUCCAAGCGAGGGCAGCGUGCCCAAGCGCCCCAUGCUGGAGGAGAGUCACAGGCCGCCCCUGACGCGGGGCGAGUCCCUGCCCGCGCCCCCCGUGGCAGCCAACUACAAGGACGCCGCGAAACACCACCCCGUCCGAGUGUGGUCCUUCGACGGCUCCUCGUCCAAGCCGCCCGCAGGCUAUCCUGGUCUACCAGUGAGCGCUGCUGCUGUGGUCGCGGCGCAGGCUGCCAGCAGUCAGAGCCAGCCGCAGGCGCAGGCGCAGGCCCCGAGCGGGACCCGCACCACCUCCCCCGAGGGCCCCAAUUCCUCCACCAACGGACAGUCCCCCAUGGCGGCCCUCCAGAGUGUGACGGACAACCUUCCCCCGGGGUCGCCACGCAGCCACGCCUCGGCCUCCCCCCAGCAGCGCUCUGCUUCCAGGAACUCCCAGCUGUCGCCAACCUCAGGUACUUUGCCGCACCUGCUCCGAUGCAUUGGUUCUGUUCGCACGUGUGUCCUCUCUGCUUCCACUUCUCCUUGGUUAUUUCUCUCACCUGCAGCAUCUGUAGAGAGAACCGAGGCGGAGAUCCUCGGGCGGGCGACACGGUGACUCCAGCGGGGACAGCAGCCCUGGGGCGCAGGGGAGCGGCGCCGGUAACGAGGGCUCGCAGCCGAGCAGCAACCUCAAGUGCACCAUCUGUACCGAGCGCCUGGAGGACACCCACUUCGUGCAGUGUCCCUCCGUCCUGCACCACAAGUUCUGCUUCCCCUGCUCCAGGGACUCCAUCAAGCGGCAGGGGGCCGGCACGGAGGUGUAUUGCCCGAGCGGCGACCGGUGUCCCCUGGCCGGGUCCUCGGUGCCCUGGGCCUUCAUGCAGGGCGAGAUAGCGACCAUCUUGGGGACGGCCAACAUCUUGCCCCAGCACUCGCAGGACGAGGCCAAGACCAAAAAGGAGCGCGAUACAUAAGGCUGUGUCGCAGCAUCUCUUCUGGUUUUAGUUGAAAGAAGGUCGCCGACGGUGCUCGUCUGCCGGUGACUUAUUGUCGACGCCGAUCGCAAGUUGCCGUGCUCGGCGUUGGUGGCGCUAUGUACUAGCGUGUCCAAAUGGUGCUGGAUGUGGUCCUUGCUCGAGACUCUGUCCGGUUAGCGGUGGGGGCCGCGGCCGAGGUCCUCCGCGCGGGCCUCGUGGCUCCACCACCAGCUGUGUCGGGCCGCCGGAUCGGGACGCGGCCCGGGUCUGUGGGGCAGAGUCAGCUAGUCCAGGGAGAUCUUCAUAGUGACUGUUAGCCAAUAUGCGGACUUUCAGUGUGUCAUUGAGGCGGCCGUUGUCUGCGCCAGCUCUCACCUGCCCGUCUUUAAAUCGCUGAAGGAACAACUGUGACCAGACUCUGCGACACCUCAAGUGAACCACAUCAUCACUUUAAUUAUUAGUCGAUUUGUUGCAGGUGAAGUUUUUACCGACACGUGCAAUUUUUGUUCAUAAGACGUCCUGGGGAACUCAGAAUGUGAUGACGGCUUUUUGUCUCGACCGACCCUCGAAGAAGACAGAAGAGAGCGGUUGGAGGGCUGGAGGCCGGUCUUGUGCCCAGGACCCAUUGUCUUCAGGAGUGUGUGUGUGCUUGUGUGUGUGUGUGAAGGGGAACACAUGACGUCCGUGGCCUGACCUUUGUGGAUACGCCCCAGAGGGGUCGUCUGGCCUCAAGAUUUAUUAGAAUAAAAAACAAUAAAAAGAAGAGAAGGCGAAGGCCGUCUUGAGAUCGAGCUUCGCCUUCGGGUCUCGGGCGGCGGAAGGCGACGCCGACGGGGUGUCUCUGCGAGCACCCCAGGCGCCGCCGCGUUCCCGAGUCCACAGGUCUUGUACUGGAUUCUUCGAGUUUUUAAUCUUCGGGGUUUGAGCAGAAAUGUUUGUAAUCUGUUUAGGCUGUACAUAUACGUUACCCUGUUAUGUACACGCAACACACUGUACUUCUCACGCUGCGACACCGUGUGGACGUUCGCGAUUACCAAAGGCUUAACUUGUAUAUUAAUUGAUAUGGAUAUAUUACUUUAGUGUAACGUGAUAACACACUUAGCCUACUAGUCAUUUAUGAUACUGGGUAAUUUUGGUACAGUAUCACGAUUUGGAACUCCGUACUCGCUUUUGUAGGUUUAUUAAUGUUCCAAAUAUUCUCUUCCGGCAUGUGGCAACCUUCCCGCCAUACUAACACCGGCAUAAGUUUAAGCGAAAUAAAAUGGAAAAAAAUUCAACUUUUUUCGGAUUAACAUGCAGAUUAACUUCCUUCUCAUACGCGAUGAUUCGAGAAAUGAUUUAAAGAGAAAAAAAAAGUUUAGUAAAAAAUCAGCAGCACAUGAUUGUAAAACUUGUUUUCGUUAUUUUGGUUUUUUUUUUUUUUUUUUUUUUUGCAAUACGUGCAGUAUUUUUGGAAACCGUUUCUUUGAGACUAGAAGUAGCGAUGCGACUUUGUGUCCUCGAUACCGUUGGGCGUGAGAAGGAGGGGAGGCCGGAAGGAGGGGAUAGGGAGGGAGGGAGGGAGGAGUAAAGGGAGAAGGGGCACCCGCUUCCGGUGCGAUGGUGGCGCCGGGGAGGGAGAAAGGGGGGGGGGGAGAGGGAAACAAGAGAGCCAGCCGCCUUCCUCUCUUCUCUCACGCUUUCCUUUCGGACGCGUUUCGUCUUACAAGAGAAACACUUUUAGCUAAGCUUUGGAACAGUCAUUCACACUGGAAAGUCAAACGAAAAAGAAAAUCAUUUUUAAAGAAGCGCUUGUUUGAAUAUGCAAAGGCUUCAAAAUUCCCUUCCAACUAGUCCUGUAUAGUGUUUCGUAUUUUUUGGUGUUCAGAUCCCGCGGAGGGACUGAUGUGUCUGACUGUCGCUCAUUUGCAAUCCCUCGAGGUUUUUUAAAUUUCGUUUUUCUUUUUUUCUCUCAUUUCGUGCGUGCGAUCGGUGAGUAGCGCCUGAUUAGCCGAGCUAGUAGCCCUGAGGUGGCGUGGGUGCGCGCGCGAACACAGGCGCGUGUAGUCCCGAGCGCGAGAUCCCGCCCGCAGGUUCGAGUGCCCCGCCCGACGUCCGCCCCCACCCCCCGCGGGCACAGGGUCUGGGAGGGGGAGAGCUGCUGCCGUGGGGAGGAGGAAGGUGGGGGGUGGGGGGUUGCCGCUGGACCGGUGAUGACUGAAAGGACCUCAUCGUCUGCAGUUUAUGUUUCUCUCUCUCUCUCACUCUCGCCUCUUUCGUGGGAUGAGUUGCUAGUUUCUUUCCCCACUUAGCUUCCAGUUUAGGGGGAUUCCGAAAGGGUUAGGACUUUCCCUCUUUUGGGGGAGCUUUUUCACCCUACUUUGAAAGACGGAGCAAUACUGUGGGUUUCUGUACGUGCUCAUGUAAAUAACACGAAAAUGACCAGCGACGAUAUUGAAUCUUGGGUUCUUGUGUAGUAAUCCCGGUGACGUAUGGAUAGAAAACGCACCCACGUCUAAACUGUUGUAUAGAUUGAAAAAGAAAUAAUGAAAACCAAGAAAGCACAGCGAAGAAAAUUAGAAAGAUUCACGCCCAUCUUGCGAAAGUUUUGUGAAAGCAUUUUGAUAAUUCGUUGCUAUGUUUACCGUCCAGGGAGCAGCACUCCUUCUCGCCCCAGACCCACUGAACGUCCAUCAACCUCUUUUGUCUGAUCAUUCCCAUAAUAGUGUGUGGUGAAGAGAACCCCCCGCCCCCUGAAAUUAGUUACGAAACAGUAAUAAUGACAAAACCUUUUUUUGGAAACACUGCUGGAUCAGUGUCCUAUAGGCUACUGUCUGUCAUGUCCACAACACUGCUUUGCAAAUCGUCUCGAGCCCGUGAUUUUUAGCCGUUUUCGUCCGUGCCCGACGCAAUAACGUAAUUCAGAUACUUCGUGUAAUUAGUUUGUUUUUCCGUGAAGUGGAAAAGCUCUACGUGUCAUGAACUGUUUUCUUGUCUGACUGACCCCUCCCCCCUUCUCCCUUCCCUCUCCUUCCCUUUGCCUGUACUUGUUCUCUGUUCGGAGCUUUUUACCCCCCAAAUAAUUCAGUUCACCCCCCCCCCCCUUUCCCCCUUCCAACCCAGUUUAUCCAGCUUUUCAAUGUCAUAUGAUGCCCAGGAUGCGGUAGCCAUGCGCGAGAGCGGGGAGGCCAAUUUCAAAUUGUUGAUUUAUCUGUGUAUCAAUUGGGUAUUAACCCCCCCCCCCUCCGUCUCAUAUUUAGGUCGGUGCCCCCGACAGCAUGGCUACCGAAGGAUCCUCUUUACUUCUUUUUUUCUCUUUUUCUUUGUUCUAUUAGUUGCCCUACGGCAUUUUGUUGUAAGUAUUAAUGCUACUGGUGUUACUACUUUAAACUCUUUCAAAGGUACAAAUGACGUAGCUCUUGACCUAUUUUUGUAGAAGGGCUUUGUAAAAAAUAAUGGUGUCGAAGGGGUUUUAGAAAAAGAAGAUACUUCUCAGUUCCCCUUGCAACAUAUAUAUAAAAAUGUCCAUUAUGUGUUGAAACGGCGCAAAAUGCCCUGCUUUGUUUAUGAGUUGGCGUCCAGUGAAGAGAAGAUUCUCGUCGGGAGGCGAUGUCUCUCACAGUGCUGAUUGAACGUUUCGUUAGUCUCCGCCUCCUUGGUUCACGACGAAGCAUCGAGAAGAAAUAGAAGACAAAAACAAAACAAAACU